CCUACGGGUGGCAGCAGUGAGGAAUAUUGGUCAAUGGACGAGAGUCUGAACCAGCCAAGUAGCGUGAAGGAUGACUGCCCUAUGGGUUGUAAACUUCUUUUAUAAAGGAAUAAAACGAGGCUCGUUUGCCUUUUUGCAUGUACUUUAUGAAUAAGGAUCGGCUAACUCCGUGCCAGCAGCCGCGGUAAUACGGAGGAUCCGAGCGUUAUCCGGAUUUAUUGGGUUUAAAGGGAGCGUAGAUGGGUUGUUAAGUCAGUUGUGAAAGUUUGCGGCUCAACCGUAAAAUUGCAAUUGAUACUGGCAGUCGUGAGUACAGUUGAGGUAGGCGGAAUUCGUGGUGUAGCGGUGAAAUGCUUAGAUAUCACGAAGAACCCCGAUUGCGAAGGCAGCUUACUAAACUGUGACUGACAUUGAUGCUCGAAAGUGUGGGUAUCAAACAGGAUUAGAUACCCUUGUAGUC
Molecule: ribosomal RNA, 460 nt
Filed under: uncultured bacterium
Lineage: Bacteria
Description: partial 16S ribosomal RNA
Rfam family: Bacterial small subunit ribosomal RNA
Source: RNAcentral